This 1627-nucleotide long non-coding RNA is filed under the name Macaca mulatta (Rhesus monkey). RNAcentral describes it as "lncRNA (ENSMMUG00000060059.1)". The record is from RNAcentral. Lineage: Eukaryota; Metazoa; Chordata; Mammalia; Primates; Cercopithecidae.
UGAUUUCACUUCCUAGUUCAUGGGAAAUUUAGAGAUCAUCAAUAGAGAAUUUUCUUGACAUCAUGCCCCAGCCACCCAAAAUGCUAUCUGCAUUCACAUUCAUCUUGACUUCCUUUCUUCUUGUCUCAAUGGAUCAGAGCAAACUCAUUCACCAGUUCUCUGGGUCCUCCACAAUCACUUUCUUUUAUCUACAGAGGCCGUAUUCCAUUAACUAUUCAUUCCCUUUUAUCCUCAAUCUUUCAUUUCUUUGCUUUGACUCUUUAAUUUCCAAGAUAAUCAUUGCCCAUAUUUUAUUACAUAAAAUGCUCUUAUUAUAUAUUUCCUAUUAAACAAAAUAUAUUUAAGUUAAAUAGUAUAUAAUUGUCCCAUAAACACUUAGUCUCAUCUGCCUGUAGUCUCAUUGGUUAAAAUCAAGUAUUUAUCAAGUUUUCUAUAAUUCUGAAUCAGAAAAGGUACAGCACAAAACAGACAGAAACAGGGUUAGCGCAUUUAAGUUAAAAGCAUUGUGCAUUUUAAAUAUUUUGGUCAUACUUUAUAAUAAAAUAUUUUGGCAAAAAUAAAAUAUAAGGUUUAGUUUAUUUUCUAUUAAUGGUAGAUCUGGAGAGUAUUUUACAUUUCUAAACAGUGUCUACUUAAUUUGACUGUUUUCACAUUUGUUUCUGAAAACACUGCUAUAAGCUUUUCAGAAUUUUGAGAUUAAAAGCACCUAAAAAUAAGAUAAAAUAAAAUUUAAGUAAGAUAUGUUUGAUGCUCCAAAAGUUGACAAAUUCACAAACUUACUUUAAGUGUCUUAUAUGAUAUAUGCCACCACAGAAACUUUAUUGCCUGCUAAGACUUAUUUGACUAAAUCUAAUCUUUAAAACAAUAAUCCUGAAAGUCUCCUUGAAACUUAUUUGAAAAUUAGGAUGGGAAUUCAAAAAUUUUUAAAAAAUGAAAAGCACAGUUGCAAAAAAAAAGUUAUUCUAGUGGCCGUAGUUGUUAUGGCACAAAAACACAUGAAAAACCAGUUUUUGCUAAUAUGUACAACUAAGUUCAAAUAAGAUAUGUAAGAUACACACACACACACAGUAUACAUACAUAUAACUUGGGCUCCAGAGGGGAAACUGAUGAAAACCUUACAUAACGAGCCAUCUGGCUCAUUUAUCACUGACAUCUCAAUGACAAUUUUAAUGAAGAUGUUCAUUAUUUUUUUCAUUCUUACUCAAAUGUCUAUCAUUAAGAAGAGUGUGAGAUGUAUAAGGCUAAUAAAGGAAGUGAGAGUGUGGUGAAUUAAGGGAUAAGUAUUAUGUACAAUUGCCUUUUCAAAAAAGGUAUUUUUACUGUGGAAGAAAUUCAUGCAGAGAUGCCUGUGGAAGAGUAUCAAUAAGAAAACAAAACACCUUUAACACUAUGACAUACUGAUUAUAAUAUACUAUGAUAUGUAUUAUUACAGCAUUACUUACACAUUCUACUUUAGGCAAUGUAAUCUACUUCUGAAUGACCUUGUUAAUUUUUAAGGCAUCAGUGCAUCAAGGGCAAAGCUCCAUAAAAUAAAUAUAAAAACAAGAAAGCAUUAGCUAAUUUGUGGCAUAGAGAAUGAUCACUGUAUAUUACAUCUGGUGACUACUUCCAUGUAGGUAAUAAAUUG